Molecule: long non-coding RNA, 732 nt
Filed under: Androctonus crassicauda
Lineage: Eukaryota; Metazoa; Arthropoda; Arachnida; Scorpiones; Buthidae
Source: RNAcentral
AUUACACAAAAAUAAGUAAAGGCAGAGCGAAAAGCAAUUAAUUGAGAUAUAACGCUACUCCGACUCACUUAAGAGGAUACUUCUUCAUCUUAUCAACUAGUGCAGGCGAAGGGCAUUAGAUACCCUCCGACCUCCGACCUCCUGAAAGACGUAUCGAUCACCUCUACUACUCCAUUUGUCAUGGCAUCAGAGUACUGAAGAAAUUUUCCGAUCCGUUGGACAUAAUCUCAGUGCCUAUCGAUUUUGACAACUAGGAUAGAAGUUUUGUUCUUCGGUAUAAUCAAAUCAACAAAUGUAUCAAAGCCAAGAUUAUUAUUUUCUUCUCAUUAUUUUCUUCCUUUCAAUCGAUGCCGUUUUAGCAAAAUAUGUAUAAUUGAUGGGUAGAACGUUAUUAGGAAUGUUACGAGAAGAAGAUGCAUUUACCUUUCACAAACAGUGACUUUUGGAGUGGUUUGGCUGUCUCACAACUUCUGUUGCCACUUUUACUGUCACAGACGUUAUUUAUCACUCUUCUUGUUGAAAGUUCUUAUCUACGACUUGACGUCCAUCUGUUUCACGACAAAUGGCCACCUAUAAGUAUUGUCUUCAGACAAAUAUUGUCACCAAACCUAUUUAAGAGCUCUUUAAAAAAUAUUUUUAAGCAUUCGUUGCACGGAAGUGCUCUUACAAUGGACAUUAAGGCUAAAGUUAUCGCCAUCUUCAAAGUCUAACUUAUUAAAUACAGAAAUUACC